GGUCUAGUAGUGUAGAGGUUAUCACAUGGGAUUCUGAUCAUCAGGAGCAGAUUUCCCAUAACCCAGGUUCGAGUCCUGGCUAGACCU
Molecule: non-coding RNA, 87 nt
Organism: Lentinula aciculospora
Lineage: Eukaryota; Fungi; Basidiomycota; Agaricomycetes; Agaricales; Omphalotaceae
Source: the annotation of a GenBank genome assembly